Molecule: ribosomal RNA, 382 nt
Filed under: uncultured organism
Description: bacterial SSU rRNA
Rfam family: Bacterial small subunit ribosomal RNA
Source: RNAcentral
UGCCUUACACAUGCAAGUCGAGCGAGGCGUCGUAGCAAUACGGCAGUCGAGCGGCAGACGGGUGAGUAACACGUGGAUGACCUGCCUCGAGGUGGGGGAUAACCCGGGGAAACUCGGGCUAAUACCGCAUAACAUCGUGAGAUCAAAGGGGCCCGCAAGGGUUCCGCCGUGAGAGGGGUCCGCGUCCGAUUAGCUAGUUGGUGAGGUAACGGCUCACCAAGGCGACGAUCGGUAGCCGGCCUGAGAGGGCGAUCGGCCUCACUGGAACUGAGACACGGUCCAGACUCCUACGGGAGGCAGCAGUGGGGAAUUUUGCGCAAUGGGGGAAACCCUGACGCAGCAACGCCGCGUGGAGGAUGAAGGUCCUUGGAUUGUAAACUCC